This 2844-nucleotide unclassified non-coding RNA is filed under the name Hevea brasiliensis (rubber tree). The record is from RNAcentral. Lineage: Eukaryota; Viridiplantae; Streptophyta; Magnoliopsida; Malpighiales; Euphorbiaceae.
GAAAAACAGAACAGCUGCAACUUCUUGUUGCUUGCGAUCGCUGGAAGAUUAGGGUUUCCAUAAUUGCGAGAGAAGAUGUGGCACGAAGCGAGAAGAUCAGAGAGAAAGGUUCACGACAUGAUGGACGCAGCUCGGAAGAGAGCGCAGAGGCGAGCCGUGUAUUUGGCGAAGAGGAGAGGCGAUCCUCAGCAAUCUAUUCAGGUCAUGGGCAGUAGAUGCCGCACCUACCGGGACGAUGGUCUCUACCAAGCUACCCAGGACCAGCAGGGCUUGUAUGUCCUCUUUCGUUUCAAUGCUUGGUGGUUUUAUUUUACCCAUGGAUUGGGACUCUAUUGAAUUAUGCUCCUUUUUAUCAAUUUGAUGGAUAUUCGUAUUUAACUGAAUUACUGAAUAAUUGAAUUUGAUAUUGUGUCUUCAGUUGAAGUUUUAAUCUGGUUUUGUUAAGUAUAUGUGGGUCAAUGGUUGUUGCAUUUAUCACUCUUUUUCGUUGAUUUUACACUUAGGAAACUCAGUUGUUGAUUCUUAGAAUUGUGUUUUUUGAACAUGCAUUUAGAAAUUCACUUGAUUUUUCCUGUAUAGACUUUCAGUGCCUUAGCAUUUUGCUGAAUAUUUAUCUUCCAUCUGAUUGAAACUGAGCCUUAAAAUUUUCAGGAUACCUUGGAAUGGGAAACAGGAUGUUCUAAUUGACAGAUUUGAUGGUCGUGCCCUGCUUGAUUUUAUUCGAGAGUCUGAUUCGAGACAUUUUCGGGCUCCAGAUAAAUCAGAAGAAGAAGAAGAACUAGAAGAGUUUGUUAAUUUUGAGAGAUAUCGGGAUUUAAUUAAGCACCGACGCAGAGGAUGUCGGUACUUUUUUAUUGGUUGAUUAUGUGUUUAAUUAUCACAUCCACUUUGUUUUCUCCAUUCCCUUUUACUUAUGACAAAACCAUUUAAGGCUUAAGGUUAUUCACCUUUGGAAUUUAAUUAGAUGACAUGAGAUCACUUUUAUACAAGUGUAAAUUUAAAAGUUAGAAGUUAUUGAUGAAGAGAGUUUUUAAUUGUACAUUAACAGUUACUGAUGAAGAAGGUUUGCUACAUGUAACCCAAGAGAUGGAGGCUAAGGCAGUUAUUCCAUUUGCAUCAGACAGUACUUCUCAGCUGACACAAGCUCCUUCAAGCAAGGGUUCAUAUUCACAAGUGGGUUUCUCUUAUGAUGGUGAUGUAAAGGAGGAAUCUCAAUUUUCAGAUGGUGAUGAUAAUGAAGAGGUUGAUGAAGAUGAUGACGAUGAGGAUUUUAAUAGUGAUGAUAGCAAUGAUGAAGGAAUGGAUAUGAUAGCAAAAGAAUUUGGAGUAAAAAGGUAUGGGUGGCUCGUUUAUAUGGAUAAAAAGGCAAAAGAGGAACAGAAAAGGCAAAAGGAAAUGAUCAAAGGAGAUCCUGCUAUUAGGAAGCUGAGUCGCAAGGAAAGGAGGAAAGCUUCUCAGAUAGAAAGGGAAAGAGAGAGAGAAGCUGCUCGGAUAACAGGAACUCGAGUGCUGCAUCAUGAUCCUUACCGGGAACCCAGAAGAAGUCCAAGUUAUGAAGCUUAUUCUCGCUCUAGAAGGUCAAGAUCACGAUCGCGCUCAUACUCACCAUCACAUUCAAGGCGAUAUGCUCGAGUAGAGCAUUCUGAUGAAGUUCAUCGCAGCAAGUCAAGGACUUCUAAAAUAGAAUUUAUCACUGAAUUUGGGGGUUCUGGUGAUGGGGACGAACUGAAGCUUGAAGGAUAUUCUCCACCAUCUUCUCCUCCAUCCCAAGCUGAUGUGUUGAGCCGGUCGGAGCACUCAACCUUUAAUUAUUGCAAAAAGAUAGAUUGGACAGUCUUUACACUGCUGCAGCUUACCCAUUUUUUUUAGCUGAAGAAAACUUUUGUGGUUUAGAUUAGAUCAGGUCUAGGUUACCUUCUUCAUAAGCGCCGAGAUGGAGGGGGAACAAGGCUUCUUUUCUGAAGCUCAUAUUUUCCCUCUGAUGGAUUUAGUAUAGUCGCUUCCAAGUUGUGUGGAAGCAUUGGAAUGGCAUCUAAUGCUUAUGCUGUUCUGCAGGCCAUCUUCUGUUCGUAUACUUGAGGCAUUGUAUGUUGAUCCUGCAUCUGGUGUAUCCCUUGAUAAGGAGAAGAUCACUAAAGCAGUGAAACCAGUGGUAAGCACAUCAUCAGCACUAGCAAAGUUAACCAAGUCAAGUACUUCUGGGGGUCCCUUGAAGCAGCAGCCAGGGGAGAAAAAAGAAACUCCUCAGGAGAGACUUAAAAGGAUCAUGAGCAAACAGCUAAACAAACAAAUUAAAAAAGAUACUGCUGCUGAAAUUGCCAAGAAACGAGAACAGGAGCGUCAGAGGCUGGAGAAACUUGCAGAAACAAACCGGUUAAGUCGUUAUAGGCGUCGUAGCCGCAGUAGGAGCUAUAGUCGAUCUCCACCUAGAAGACACCGACACAGUAGAAGUCCAAGUAGGAGCAGGAGUUCUCGAAGAUACCAUUCUCGCUCCGGUUCUCGGUCUCACUCCCAUUCUCGUUCUGGAUCUCGCUCUUAUUCCCGUUCACCAAGGGUGAGAAGUCAUUCAAGGCAAUCGUAGAUAUGGUGUGGCAUUGAGGAAAUUUAUAUUUAUGUUUCAAGCAUUAUGUUGUCACAAAAUUUUACCAUAGGGCACUUUUGGCCCUAAAGUACUUAUGGUGAUGUGUUAGGCAAAGAUGAUGGAAAUUGUAUGAGCCUCAAUCUUUGGUCUUUGAUCUUACUGCUUGAUUGCAUCUACUGUUUGUGAACAUUGUGCAAGAUAUACAAAUGAGAGAUUAAAAAGUAUAUAUUAAGUUUUGUCUAUAAUAACAUUGGUUUAUGCCA